Molecule: long non-coding RNA, 367 nt
Organism: Trachymyrmex septentrionalis
Lineage: Eukaryota; Metazoa; Arthropoda; Insecta; Hymenoptera; Formicidae
Exons: 3
Source: RefSeq, a predicted model, not a curated record
CGCCAGCUGUAUUAUUAAUGAUUACAGCUCACGAAGUGUGGAUAUUACGAUUGGCAUAUCGAUGAAUUGGGUACAAGUCUCCUACAUCGUUGCUUUAGAAUAUUUAACAAAGAAACGUACUUGUUAUAUGUCGAUGACAAUAACUUCAUAUCAUGUCAACUUCUACUGACAGCAGUCGCUAAGUAGUGACCCUGUGUUCCCGCCAAGUCAUCAACAAAAAGAUCAAGAAGAGGUUAUAAUAGCGAUAUAAGAGCAGCAAUUUACUCAGCCUUUGAAAGUGAGUCUGUAAAAAAGGAUACAGUGGAUGGAUUCCUGCUUCAAAUAAGAAAUCAAACCCUUCCAAUAUGCAAGAGACAUCAAUUUGAGA